GAAGCACAACUACAUCCCGUUCCUGUUCAACCUCCUCAAGGCGCUGGCGGAGAAGAAGCAGCUGACGCCGCUCGUCGAGAAGGCCAGGCAGCAGAAGGCCCCCGCCGCCGCCGGCGCCGCCGGCGCCAGCACGAGCUGAACCUCCUCGUCAUCUUUUGAGGCUGCAUCAUGUUAUCAGACACUCCUACAUACAGUACCUAGUUGGCGGCUUAGAGAUGUUGCUGCUGCUGAGGCUAUAAACCAUUUUCUGCUGAAAUCUUGUUUUGCGUUGCGGUGUGCUGGAUUAUCGAUGUUAUUGCUGGUUAGAGCUGUAGAAGGGGUCUAUUUAAUCUUGAAUUAAAUGAGGGUGUGGUAGGUACUCUGUCUGAAGGAUAAUGGUGUUGCCUGGGUAUGGAUAACAGAGUAUGAUAUUCUCCCAACUCUUGCAUCUUUGCUGUAUCAAUGACAUGUGGGACCACGUGCCAUGGUGAUGUUAGCUAUGUGCCAGGAAGCUUGUAGUGUUAUACCUUCCCCAUUCCUGGGGUUGUGACUUGUGGUGUUAGCUUAA
This 547-nucleotide long non-coding RNA is filed under the name Triticum aestivum (bread wheat). RNAcentral describes it as "long non-coding RNA (TAES_LNC012716)". Lineage: Eukaryota; Viridiplantae; Streptophyta; Magnoliopsida; Poales; Poaceae. The record is from RNAcentral.